UGCCCGGUCCAACGAUCUUGCGUGCGGAAUGCUGGCUCUAUGGGUUGUAAACUACUUUUAUGCAUGGAAAAAAAGUGCCAUGGUUGGCAUCCUGCCGGUCCUGUUAUGAGGAGCCAGCCGGGGUUAUGCGGAAGCAGCCGGGGUAAUCCGGAUGUAGCGAGCUUUAUCGGUUUGUAGUGGGUUUUAAGGGUUCGUAGGUAGGUCUUUAAGUUAAUCGGUAAAUCUGGCGUGUCAACCGUAUCUCUGGCAUGUAACCUGGAUCUGUGGAAUGUAAAUGGGGUCAGCGGAAUGCAGCAUGAAGCGGCAGAAUACCAAGAGAUACUGCAGCUCACCGAUAGCGAACGCAGCUUGACGACUCAUUCCGGUCGCUGAUGUCAGCAACCGAGGCUCAAGUACUGCACUCGGUACUCAAAGUUAUAGGAAUGGACGGAAAGUUAAAGGAAUUGACGGAAACUCAAAGGAAUUGACGG
This 470-nucleotide ribosomal RNA is filed under the name uncultured prokaryote. RNAcentral's name for it is "partial 16S ribosomal RNA". It matches the Rfam family "Bacterial small subunit ribosomal RNA", at positions 380 to 916 of the family's 1533-position model. The record is from RNAcentral.